This 337-nucleotide unclassified non-coding RNA is filed under the name soil metagenome. RNAcentral's name for it is "partial contains 5.8S ribosomal RNA, internal transcribed spacer 2, and large subunit ribosomal RNA". The stretch from base 1 to 120 matches the Rfam family "5.8S ribosomal RNA", at positions 35 to 154 of the family's 154-position model. The record is from RNAcentral.
GAUGAAGAACGUAGCGAAAUGCGAUAAGUAGUGUGAAUUGCAGAAUUCAGUGAAUCAUCGAAUCUUUGAAUGCUCAUUGCGCCCCUUGGUAUUCCAUGGGGCAUGCCUGUUCGAGCGUCAUUUGUACCUUCAAGCUCUGCUUGGUGUUGGGUGUUUGUCUCGCCUCUGCGUGUAGACUCGCCUCAAAACAAUUGGCAGCCGGCGUAUUGAUUUCGGAGCGCAGUACAUCUCGCGCUUUGCACUCAUAACGACGACGUCCAAAAGUACAUUUUUACACUCUUGACCUCGGAUCAGGUAGGGAUACCCGCUGAACUUAAGCAUAUCAAUAAGCGGAGGA